RNAcentral lists this ribosomal RNA (253 nucleotides) under uncultured bacterium. RNAcentral describes it as "partial 16S ribosomal RNA". It matches the Rfam family "Bacterial small subunit ribosomal RNA", at positions 524 to 776 of the family's 1533-position model. The record is from RNAcentral.
UACGAAGGGGGCUAGCGUUGCUCGGAAUUACUGGGCGUAAAGCGCACGUAGGCGGCCUCUUAAGUCGGUGGUGAAAUCCUGGAGCUCAACUCCAGAACUGCCUUCGAUACUGGGAAGCUCGAGUCCGGGAGAGGUGAGUGGAACUGCGAGUGUAGAGGUGAAAUUCGUAGAUAUUCGCAAGAACACCAGUGGCGGAGGCGGCUCACUGGCCCGGUACUGACGCUGAGGCACGAAAGCGUGGGGAGCAAACAGG